Phyllostomus hastatus (greater spear-nosed bat) is the source of this 1225-nucleotide long non-coding RNA. RefSeq lists it as uncharacterized. The transcript has 3 exons. The record is from RefSeq and is a predicted model, not a curated record. NCBI's taxonomy places the organism in Eukaryota, Metazoa, Chordata, Mammalia, Chiroptera, Phyllostomidae.
GCAGAAGGCACUCCUCUAUCUUGCCCCACCCCUACAGAACAAGUCAGGCACUGACCCCAGACAGCAGCUGUUGCAUGCAGAUCCUGGGGCGACAGGGUGCAGCAGCAGGAGGUGAAGCACUUGGUCCGUUCAACUUUUCCACCAGUGUGAUGUGUUUGCAUCCCCUGUAUUUUGUGAGAGUCCUGAAGCCAGCCUCGGAGCUCUGUUCACUAUGAAGUCAUGGGGGUGCCUGUGGGGAUUGCAACCUGGAGGUGGACAGUGCAAAUAAAAACCCACAUUUUCAUACUGAGUGUGGCAGCUGGGAAGGAAGAUAAAUGGCAGCAGGGCAAAGAUCACUCAUUUCACUGUGGUAGAAGGAAAGCUGUGAUUAGAGUCCCCACAGGGCAGGCUCCCUGGGGCCUGCUCAGACUUCCUCUCUGGAGCCUGUGAUACAUUGAAUGCUUCUUAGGUCAUGUCCACAGAGAACUGCAGGAAUAUGUAGAAACCAGGAGAAGUACAAGCUGCUUCUGGGCUGGUGUCUAAUAGUAUGUCACAAGCGUUCAGAACCUCCUUGAAGAAUUUGAAGAAGGAAGCUGAGGAGAGUAGGAAUCCUAGUUGAUGUCACAGGUUGGAUCCUUUGGGACUGAGCUAGUGUCGUAGGUUUGUUCUCCAGAAGCAGAUGCUGAGAUGGAAUUUGGAGUGCAUGGUACUUAUUAAGAGUUAACCGCUGUGAGGGGCAGGGGAACAGGAUUGGGUAAAAGUUGAAAUGUAAUACAGGAAGGACUAAGCCAACACCUAGGGGUGCUCUCUAGCAUAUUCUGCCCACUAGGGUAUCUCAUGGGCUGAAAUUGCUGAACCUUCAUACUCAGUCAGUCAUGGGAUGUUGGCUACCUUUUUGGAGACUGUGCAGCUGAGGCAAACCCUGAAGGAGCUGACAGCUGAGACCACAUGCCACCCUUUGAAGGGGAUCUGGGUGACACAUCUCCAUAGCUACUACAGCAAGCAACAGAGUGGAAAUUGAGCUUGGAUUCUAUUGAUUCCAAGGAGAUAAUGUUCCUUCCUGCUUUUAUUCAAUUAGUAAGUAUCUACUGAGGACUGAAAAGAAAAAGAAGGGGAAAAUCCUUGCCCUUAUGGAAUUACCUAUUAGUACAGGGUAAUAAAUGUUACAAAGAAAUAAAAUACAAAUAGCCAAGAUAUGGAAACAACCUAGAUGUCCAUUGAUUUAAAAAAAAGUUGUGGUAUAUAU